CCUACGGGAGGCUGCAGUGGGGAAUAUUGGACAAUGGGCGAAAGCCUGAUCCAGUCAUGCCGCGUGUGUGAAGAAGGCCUUCGGGUUGUAAAGCACUUUCAGUGGGGAAGAAAGCCUUGGGGCUAAUACCCUCGAGGAAGGACAUCACCCACAGAAGAAGCACCGGCUAACUCCGUGCCAGCAGCCGCGGUAAUACGGAGGGUGCGAGCGUUAAUCGGAAUUACUGGGCGUAAAGCGCGCGUAGGCGGUCUGAUAAGCCGGUUGUGAAAGCCCCGGGCUCAACCUGGGAACGGCAUCCGGAACUGUCAGGCUAGAGUGCAGGAGAGGAAGGUAGAAUUCCCGGUGUAGCGGUGAAAUGCGUAGAGAUCGGGAGGAAUACCAGUGGCGAAGGCGGCCUUCUGGACUGACACUGACGCUGAGGUGCGAAAGCGUGGGUAGCAAACAGGAUUAGAUACCCUAGUAGUC
RNAcentral lists this ribosomal RNA (465 nucleotides) under Vreelandella stevensii. RNAcentral's name for it is "partial 16S ribosomal RNA". It matches the Rfam family "Bacterial small subunit ribosomal RNA", at positions 338 to 795 of the family's 1533-position model. Lineage: Bacteria; Pseudomonadati; Pseudomonadota; Gammaproteobacteria; Oceanospirillales; Halomonadaceae. The record is from RNAcentral.